UGGGGAAUUUUGGACAAUGGCGCAAGCCUGAUCCAGCCAUGCCGCGUGCGGGAAGAAGGCCUUCGGGUUGUAAACCGCUUUUGUCAGGGAAGAAAUCUUCUGAGUUAAUACCUCGGGAGGAUGACGGUACCCUGAAGAAUAAGCACCGGCUAACUACGUGCCAGCAGCCGCGGUAAUACGUAGGGUGCAAGCGUUAAUCGGAAUUACUGGGCGUAAAGCGUGCGCAGGCGGUUUUGUAAGACAGAGGUGAAAUCCCCGGGCUCAACCUGGGAACUGCCUUUGUGACUGCAAGGCCUGAGUGCGGCAGAGGGGGGAUGGAAUUCCGCGUGUAGCAGUGAAAUGCGUAGAUAUGCGGAGGAACACCGAUGGCGAAGGCAAUCCCCUGGGCCUGCACUGACGCUCAUGCACGAAAGCGUGGGGAGCAAACAGGAUUAGAUA
Molecule: ribosomal RNA, 438 nt
Filed under: uncultured bacterium
Lineage: Bacteria
Description: partial 16S ribosomal RNA
Rfam family: Bacterial small subunit ribosomal RNA
Source: RNAcentral